CCUUCAACACAUAACUAGAGAGAGAGAGAACAAAAGUCAUGGCACUCUCGGCCAUGGCUGAGCAAAAAUUGAGGCUCCCAAGUGUUGAUCAAAAAUAAGAUUUUCAAGGUAAUUCAACCCUUUAGAAGGUCCAUAGCAACGUGAAAAUGGUCAUUAGGGCAGCAAGAACAAGUAUUAAUUCAAUGCACAAAUUCUAGCCAAGUUAAGAAGCCAACUUGUUAAGGUUGAAACUUUGGGCAGCGUAUACGAGUUGUGUUACGAAUAAACGCCAAAGGUACAGAUACUCGCUUUGGUGAGCCGCCAGCUUAGGACUUCCCUUCUGCUAUCUUGGAGAGCUCCGUUGUUCCGGAGCCCAGAUUUGGUAUAGAUCUUUUUUUAUCUAAAUAUAUGUAUAUGUUGUCUAAGGGUACGACGGGGCCCUGUCCCGUCAUAUUUCACUGUUGAAACUCUUAGAGGUCUGUAGACAUGUAUGUGGGUCGUGUUCAGAUGUGGUCAGUUGUGCCAAUAUGGUCAUUAUGGAUGUUCUAGCGCUGUAGCAGCCUUGCCGGCUUGCAUAUAUUGUCAUGUUGUGGUAGCAGCCUUGUCGGCUUGCGUUUAUAUAUAUAUAGUUGGGACGUUCCCACCUGUU
Molecule: long non-coding RNA, 628 nt
Organism: Lycium barbarum (goji berry)
Lineage: Eukaryota; Viridiplantae; Streptophyta; Magnoliopsida; Solanales; Solanaceae
Exons: 3
Source: RefSeq, a predicted model, not a curated record